This 30-nucleotide non-coding RNA is filed under the name Homo sapiens (human). The record is from RNAcentral. Lineage: Eukaryota; Metazoa; Chordata; Mammalia; Primates; Hominidae.
UGGCUCCUUUACAGAUGAGAACACAGGUCC